This 440-nucleotide ribosomal RNA is filed under the name uncultured bacterium. RNAcentral describes it as "partial 16S ribosomal RNA". It matches the Rfam family "Bacterial small subunit ribosomal RNA", at positions 338 to 795 of the family's 1533-position model. The record is from RNAcentral.
CCUACGGGAGGCAGCAGUGGGGAAUAUUGCACAAUGGGGGAAACCCUGAUGCAGCGACGCCGCGUGAGUGAAGAAGUAUUUCGGUACGUAAAGCUCUAUCAGCAGGGAAGAAAAUGACGGUACCUGACUAAGAAGCCCCGGCUAACUACGUGCCAGCAGCCGCGGUAAUACGUAGGGGGCAAGCGUUAUCCGGAUUUACUGGGUGUAAAGGGAGCGUAGACGGCAGCGCAAGUCUGGAGUGAAAUCCCAUGGCUUAACCAUGGAACUGCUUUGGAAACUGUGCAGCUAGAGUGCAGGAGAGGUAAGCGGAAUGCCUAGUGUAGCGGUGAAAUGCGUAGAUAUUAGGAGGAACACCAGGGGCGAAGGCGGCUUACUGGACUGUAACUGACGUUGAGGCUCGAAAGCGUGGGGAGCAAACAGGAUUAGAUACCCGAGUAGUC